This 8354-nucleotide long non-coding RNA is filed under the name Solanum lycopersicum (tomato). RNAcentral's name for it is "long non-coding RNA (SLYC_LNC000771)". Lineage: Eukaryota; Viridiplantae; Streptophyta; Magnoliopsida; Solanales; Solanaceae. The record is from RNAcentral.
AUAAUGUAAAUAAAAAAAACAAAGGGCAAAUAACGUGUGAUUUGUUUAUGACAAGUUUGAUGGGCUGUCGAAAUUACUGUCACGGAUCUCUCGCUCGCCUUAUAUAAUUGAAGCAAUGAUUCAUUUCCUUUAUUCCUAGACUAGAUAGAUGUGCUUUUCUACCCAUACACGUAUUCAUUCAUAACAGUAACUUUUUAUUUUAUAGACUAUACUAUACAUAGAGACUAGACUAGAGAGAGAAGAGAAUAGAAGACAGACCAUUCAUUCAUUGAUCCAUUGAUCUGAUGAUGGAGAACCAAGUUGACAUAGAGAAUGAUGGAGGAGGUAUGAUUGAGGAAGAGAAAUUUGAUUUGGAGAGAAAUUUUUCAACAAUUUCUGAAACUGGUAGCAUAAGAGAGCCUUUGCUCAAAUCUAAGAGCAGAGUCAACAAUACCUCCCAAAUCGCUAUUGUUGGAGCCAAUGUUUAUCCCAUUGAAAGCCUCGACUAUGAGUAUGUACUACUUAUCAUUUUUUUUUAUUCCUUCCAUCUCUACUCUGCUACUACUAAUAGUAUGAUUAAAUACUUUUUGCAGUAUUGUAGAAAAUGACCUUUUCAAGCAAGACUGGAGAUCUAGGAAAAAGGUUGAGAUAUUUCAAUAUAUAUUUCUUAAAUGGACUCUUGUGCUCUUAAUUGGAUUGAGUACUGGACUUGUUGGUUUCUUUAACAACAUUGGAGUGGAAAAUAUUGCUGGUUUCAAGCUUCUUCUCACUAGCAACUUAAUGCUUGAGGGAAAGUAAGUACAUCUUCAACUUCAGCUACUCUACGCUCUUUGUUCAAUUUAUUAAUUACAGAGCAGGUAUUUCCAGGCAUUUGCUGCUUUUGCUGGUUGCAAUGUGUUUUUUGCAACUUGUGCCGCAGCCCUCUGUGCAUUUAUUGCACCUGCAGCUGCAGGCUCUGGUAUACCUGAAGUAAAAGCCUAUCUGAAUGGUAUCGAUGCUCAUUCCAUUUUGGCUCCAAGUACAUUACUUGUCAAGGUUGGUCUCUCAACUCCUUUUCCUUUCUUGUGUACACCCUGUUGAUCGCUCCAUGGCCGUAUCUAAGAAGCAUAAUUCUAGCUUACAACAAUAACCGUUAUGAUUGCAAUUAAAGUUGAGAGUGUCAACAUGCAGGAGGUGGUUGACAGCCUGAGAAAUCAAGCAGUUUUGGUAGGAAGAGUUUUUGAUAUGGAAAUCAUAACUCUUCCUGGCAUGGAUUCGCUGCACGAUAUGGUAGAGAUUCAGUCUUGGCUGCACUUGUUCGACAAAAAAUUCCCCAUCCUCUAUGAAGAAGAAGUUCGUGAAUUUUACUACAAUGUUCAAUUUAGGUAAGAUGGGAGCAUCCUCACACGGGUAAAUGAUAUUGCCAUAUCUUUGGAUGAGGAGGUGUUGAGCAAAAUUCUCAUGGUGCCUAAAGAGGGGACCUGGUCUGUGCUAGGCAAAACUUGCUCUUCUGAGUUUGCUUCUGUGAUUUCUAAGACACCCACAACUAAGGUUGCUGGGAUUUAUAAGAAAAUCAUGAAGAGUGAGUAUCAGCUGGUCUUUAAGUUCAUCAACAAGGUGCUCCUUCCUCGCACAGAAAAGAGGACAGUCGCAACUGCUGCUGAUUUGUAUGUGACGGAGAUGUUGUGUAGCUUCGACGCCCUGAACCUCCCUGGUCUAAUGCUUGAACAUAUUCACAAAACCUUCAUUGCGAGGAAAGGUGUUCAUGGAAUGGGUUACGGAUACUUUCUCACGGAGGUAAGUCAAGCAUUUUCAAAUUCCUCUCAGUGUUGGAAAGGUUGGGACAGUUAAACAGACUAUCUCUGAGAGUACCUUGGUUGAGUGCGAAUGCAUUGAAGGAAGAGGCUAUCCAAAGAGCAAGAUGGAUCAACUUAUUGAUGAUCAGGAUCAUCUUAAGCACGAGGUUGAAGAGCUCACUAUGCGGUUAAGUGGUAAAGAGGUAGAAAUUGCUAUACUCAAAGCAGAACUGCUUACUGCACAGAGUGAGGGACCUGGUUCUUCAGUGAUUCAAGCUAUGGAGAAGGAAAAUGCUGAGUUGAAGGCGAAUAUCACUGCCCUGCAAGAAAAGUCCAUCAAAGAUAAUGAUGCUGCCAAUGCACGACUCACUCUUGUUAUCCAGUCCCUGUCUCAUCCUCCCCCUCUUCCUAGCCUAUUGAACACUUUCUUUUGUGUCAAUUUUUUUUGUGGCUUAUCACUGUAUUGAUGGAUAUUCAGUUUGUUUUUAAUGUAUUAAUGUUAUGAUGGCAUGCCUGUUAAUUUAUUCCUUUGCUGUUUUGAUUAUCUUCUUUUGUGCAUGCUUUUCCCUUACUGAUUGAUUGUUAUUUAGCUUUGAUCUUGUUCAGUAUUUCGGUUUACAUCAUUGUUUUACUGCAUAUCUUUUUUAUGAUGCCAAAAGGGGGAAGUAAAACUGUGAAUAGCUAAAUGAUAAUUCAGUGAGGGGGAAUGUAAAGUGAGGGGGAAUAUAAAAAGGGGGAACAAAGUUGAAGAAGAUCUUAGAUCACUGUUUCAUUGUUUGUCAUCAUCAAAAAGGGGAAAAUGUUAUUUGUAGUUUUGAUGAAUUGACAAACUUAGGGACCUUGUAAAGGUACCAGUUUCAUACUUGAGUAUUGCAGGUUUCUUACUUGAGUAUUGCAGAUGAAACAAACCCAGGGACCUAGUAGAGGUAUCAGGCUCUCAUGAUGACGAGCUAGUUGACUGCCAGCUGGAGACGGUACAGAAAGUAGGUGCAUACUUCCCGAUGGCGUCAGAAAGUGUGACUUUUCCAUCCAAUGGCAAAGAGGUUUAGGAAAGUGACUUGUCCAUAUAAAAGUCAGUUUCCUUAACAUUUUUUGGCAGUUUUUGCAACUUGAGAGAAACCUCUUCAAGAACAUUUGCAAUGGCUGCUAGAAACAAAGGCAGAAGUAUUCCAACAACAACAGCAAUCUCUGGAGCUUUUCGUAUAGUUGUUUAGGAAUACAUUCUCUUGUUCGUAAACUGUAAACUAUUCCUCAAUCUAUAAAGGAAUUGUUGUGUUGUGUUAAAAGUCUAGGUUGUCCAAGUGGGAUAACUUAGUGGGUAGAUAGUUUUCUACUUAGUCUUGUUAAGCAAGAGGGAUUAUUGCUUAACUGUGAGAUUGAUAACUUUUUCUUACUUUUGGUGUAAUCGUGUUUUACUUUUGCUUUUGAAGAUUAGUGAAAACGAUUAAAAAUCCUGUGAGACAAGUCGUGGUUUUACUCCCUUAAGCAAGGAGGUUUCCACGUAAAAUCAUCGUAUUGAUUUUACUGCAUUUAACUUUCUGUUUUAUUCAUUAGUGUAGUAAGGGACCUGGUCUAUUACUUGUUAAGUGAAGGCAUAUAUUCUAUCAUAAUCAUCUUUAUAAACAUUUGUUGAUAUAGUGUACAAAUUAAACAUGUUAUUGUUUACCCUUGCAUGCGCCUUCAUAUUAUUAUCCAAGUUGAUAAUUCUAAUUAUAACUCUUGAAGUAUUCUCACAAAAUCAGUAGAGUAUCUAUUGAAAGAAGCUAAGUUAUUAUAAUUGAAUCCAAAGUAUCAUCUCUUUGUGCUUAUACAUUUUCUAUAAUAUGAGAUUUAUAUAAUUUUACUCAUACAUGGAAGUAUUGAAAUAGAAUCAAUUGCAUAUUGUGAAUGAAUUCCAUCGUAUGAAUGUGUUUAUUCUAAUGAAUAUUUUCAUUUUAAAAAAAAAAUAAAAAAAUCUAUAGAACAUUCAUCUGAUCGACUUAAUUAUUAAGGGUUUGAUUCAAACAUGUGAUAUAUUUUCAUGAAGAGUUAUCAUCAUACUAUAUUUGUUUACUUACAAAGAUAUCAUUAGUUUAUGAAGCUAAUUAUACUCGACGUGAUCCCAACAAUAUUAUAUAACAAUUAUGCAACAUUAUCAAAAAAAAAUGUCAAUGUCAAAUCAGUUUGUCCAAUGAUAAUUUGACUAAUCUGAUCAUAAAGACACAACCACUUCAAUUAGAAGAUUUGGGUACUAUCAUCUUCAAGAGUUAUAAUUAUGUGAUACUUUAAUUAGCUAGGGAUGAGUAAAAUAUGUGCUCCUUAAUCAAGAUUUUAUUGCAUUUUUGACACCGCUAGUUAUAUGUAUUAUUAUAUAUGUGUACUCAAUUUUAUUCUUUAAUUUUUUUCUAAUAAAAUUUUAAUGAAACACAAUAUCGAUUAAUGAGCAUAUAUAUUAAAGAUAGUUUUGUAAAUAUAUUGUAAAAUAGAUGUACAAGCAGAUAGAACGAACCACAAAUAGAUUAAUCAUGAAAAAACUUGUAAUCAAACACGCAAUUACUAGCAAUCAACUUUUGAAAAGUCUUUCGGAUGCUUUCUAAUCAACUUCUUUUCUUCUAUAGAUAAAAAAUAAACUCUCUUUAAUUACAACAACUUAAAAUAAAAUUAUUUCUCUUCCCUGAUUUCUUUUGCUAUAUUUUUUAUUGUUUUAAUAUUUUGUCAUAAUUAACAAAUUUCACUCUAAUACUUUUAACUUUUAGAUUUUAAAAAUAUAACUCUUCCUAAAAAGAUGAAAAGGACCUAUUGAGCUCAAAGUCAACCCUCAAAUCCAGAGUAAAGUUGAGUUUCAAAAGGUGAAAAAAUAAUCAUCAACUAAUAUGCACUAUAUAUUUGUAUUAUUAAAAAAAUGAAACAACAUCAUAAAAGAAUGUAUAAUUAGAUUAAAAUAUGAUCUCAUCAAUAUUCUAUGAGAUAUGUUCAUAACAUCUAUAAACUACUAUAUAUUUUAAUAUCUUGUUUUCCAAAAUGAUCGUCAACUAAUAUGCAUUAUACACUUAUUUUAUUUUUAAAAAAAGGAACAAAGUCAUAAUAGGAGGAUUAUAUAGGAUAUGAUAUCUCAUUUGUUCUUAAUAUUCUAUGAAUAAUGUUCAUACCACCUACAAACUAUUAUAUAUUUUAAUGUCUUACUUUUCAAAUUGCUUACGGAUGAUAUUAGACAUUAAAGCGCGUCAUCUUCGUUUUAUUUAUAUGACACAAUAAAUUUUUAAAUAAUUUUUUAUAAAUAUUUUAAGUUAUUCCUUAUUAUAAUUUAUGUAGUAUUUUUACAUAAUUUUCAUAUAAGUUAUGUUACAUUCUUUAUUUCAAUUUAUUUAGUACGGAUAGAAUUUGAUGAGAAUUAUUUUUUAAUGUAUUUUAAAUAUUUUAAUUUGUCAAUUGUAGCAAUAUAUAAUACUUUUUACGUCAUUGACUUAUUUCCAUAUAAGAAAUGUUACUUCAUAUAUAUAUAUAUAUAUAUAUAUAUAUAUAUAUAUAUAUAUAUAUAUAUAUAUAUAUAUAUAUAGAAUUUAGAGAAUGAAUCGAUUUUUAUUUACAUAUAUAUAUAUAUAUAUAUAUAUAUAUAUAUAUAUAUAUGUAAAUAAAAAUCGAUUCAUUCUCUAAAUUCUAUAUAUAUAUAUAUAUAUAUAUAUAUAUAUAUAUGAAUAGAAUUUAGAGAAUGAAUCGAUUUUUAUUUCUUUUAAAUUUUAAAGUUAUUAAUUCUUCUGAUUUAUUGUAUUCUUUAGUUAUUUCAAAUAAUUAUUUAGACAUUCCUAUGUUUUAAAUAUGUUAUAGAAAGAAAAGUCUACUGAAAUUUUAUAAUUUUAAUUAUUAGGGAUGACAAUGGAGCGGUGUAGGAUUGGACGGUGUGGGUUAAGUUUAAUUUGUAAAUUUUUUAAUUUGCUCUGCAUAAUAGUUCUUUUCAUUUUCAACCCUCCUUGCAUGAACCCCGCCCGCAUAAUAUUUUAAAUAUUUUUUUUCUAGUUAUGUUGAUACCAAAGAUAAAAUUCAUAAAAUAAAUUUAUUUUGUCAUUCAGUUAUAUUUAUUUAUUAGGAUAGUGACUUUAAAUUUUAUUUUUUAAAGGUCAAUUAGAAAACAUGUAAGAAAUUGUAUUAUUUUUUAUUGAAUCAUUAUUUUGAAUAUUUUAAUAGCUUUAAUGAAAUUCUUAAUAAAUAAUGCUCUAUCACUUUUAUAACAUGUAAAAGUUAAGUUUGAACCCAUAUAAAAUCACAUAUACCCAUUAUCCGUAACCCGCUCAAUCCCACUUUAAUUUUUAAAAAAAUCCACUUCAACUCGCCCGCAUCAACCCUGUCCACACAAUCUUAGACGUCUCACAAAGCUUUAAACCCGUUUCGCUUGGCAUCUGCCCCUCCUUAUUGUCAUCCAUAGUUUUAUGAAAAUAACACGUAUUCUUUUGUAUACAUAUAAGAGGUCAGGAGGCACACAACUCUUGAAUGAUGUAUCUGCUUGAGUUGUGUGCUUUCAUGAAGAAAGUGGAACUCCCACUCAAACAUUUGAGUAUUUUUGCUGGUUUAUUUUUUUUUUCUUACUUUCGGUUUUAAUUUGUUAUAGGUUUAAAAAUAUAUAAAUAAAGCGAUAAAUUUUAAUAUAUCACAAAUUAAAUAUUCUAUUGUAUAUUUAAAAAUUACAUAAAAAAAUUAUACAUUACAGUAUUUAAGAUCUUGAAAUAUCUUAAUAUCUAAUGAGAUUUUACAAGAACACAACUCUUAACAGUAAAUUAAAUAUUUAAAAAUUACAUGAAAAUUACAAUAAUAAACAAUUUAAAUAUUUUAGUAUAUAUUUGAGAAUUGUGUAAAAAAUAUUAUGAAUUUAAUAAUUUUAAAAUAUUUUAAAGUAAAUAUAAAAAUUGAUUGAUUCUUAAAAUUAUAUAGAUGCAACAUAAAUUGGAACAAACGAAAUAACAUAUAUUAUUUAAAAAUUAUGUGACACAUACUAUUAAUCGCAAUAAUUAAAAGUUCAAAAUAUUUCUUCAAAACAAUAUAUAAGAAAAUCAAUCAACUCUCCAAGCUAUUGUUUGACCCUAAGCUCACAAAUAUUCUUGGCAAAUCCUAUUUGAAUGAAGUGUUUGGUAAAUUUUUACUAUGUGUUUGUCCUUAAAAUUUUUCAAAAAUAUUUGACUAUUUCAAAAAAUUUAUACCAUAAGCUUUAAAAUUAUUAAAAGUACUCAUAAAUUUAUAUUAUCAUUUUGUAAUGACUAGAUACUUUGAAUUAUGACCUUAUCAUAUAAUUGAUAAAAAUUAACAGUAACAAUAUAGGCAAGACAAUAUUUUAGUUGUUUACUCAAAUUUAUCACUAUUUCAAUUAUAAUUACAACGUGUUAAAUACAAAUUGUUUCUUUUUUCUCAAUUUUUCACUCAAAUAAAAACUCAAUCUUUUUUGGAGUCGGCAUAACAAAUAUUAGUUGAAAUAAAAAAUUCAAAUAUUAACCAAAAUAGUAGUUUUUUCUAAUAUUUGAGAACCUGCGAUAUUAUAUUUGCCAAAUUAUAUAAUUAAACACCAUUUUUCAAAUUUUGCUCAAGUAUUCUUUGGGUCAAACAAGUCCUAAAUUUCUUAGACGAAACAAAGUAACCUCAAAAGUAUUUCUCUUAUUUUAAUUGAUCAAAAUAUAUAAUAAUUAAGAACAACUAAAAAAUAAAAAGCGGGUAACUAAUUAAGAAGUGUGGGCAAGAUUAAAGAAGAAUUGAAGACCACUAUAAGUAGAAGGUUCUAGGAAAGAAAAUGUGGGGGAGAUAAUGUAAAUAAAAAAAACAAAGGGCAAAUAACGUGUGAUUUGUUUAUGACAAGUUUGAUGGGCUGUCGAAAUUACUGUCACGGAUCUCUCGCUCGCCUUAUAUAAUUGAAGCAAUGAUUCAUUUCCUUUAUUCCUAGACUAGAUAGAUGUGCUUUUCUACCCAUACACGUAUUCAUUCAUAACAGUAACUUUUUAUUUUAUAGACUAUACUAUACAUAGAGACUAGACUAGAGAGAGAAGAGAAUAGAAGACAGACCAUUCAUUCAUUGAUCCAUUGAUCUGAUGAUGGAGAACCAAGUUGACAUAGAGAAUGAUGGAGGAGGUAUGAUUGAGGAAGAGAAAUUUGAUUUGGAGAGAAAUUUUUCAACAAUUUCUGAAACUGGUAGCAUAAGAGAGCCUUUGCUCAAAUCUAAGAGCAGAGUCAACAAUACCUCCCAAAUCGCUAUUGUUGGAGCCAAUGUUUAUCCCAUUGAAAGCCUCGACUAUGAGUAUGUACUACUUAUCAUUUUUUUUUAUUCCUUCCAUCUCUACUCUGCUACUACUAAUAGUAUGAUUAAAUACUUUUUGCAGUAUUGUAGAAAAUGACCUUUUCAAGCAAGACUGGAGAUCUAGGAAAAAGGUUGAGAUAUUUCAAUAUAUAUUUCUUAAAUGGACUCUUGUGCUCUUAAUUGGAUUGAGUACUGGACUUGUUGGUUUCUUUAACAACAUUGGAGUGGAAAAUAUUGCUGGUUUCAAGCUUCUUCUCACUAGCAACUUAAUGCUUGAGGGAAAGUAAGUACAUCUUCAACUUCAGCUACUCUACGCUCUUUGUUCAAUUUAUUAAUUACAGAGCAGGUAU